AACGAACGCUGGCGGCAUGCCUAACACAUGCAAGUCGAACGAAGCCUUCGGGCUUAGUGGCGCACGGGUGCGUAACACGUGGGAAUCUGCCCUUCGGUUCAGAAUAACAGUUAGAAAUGACUGCUAAUACCGGAUGAUGACGUAAGUCCAAAGAUUUAUCGCCGAAGGAUGAGCCCCGCGUAGGAUUUGGUAGUUGGUAGGGUAAUGGCCUACCAAGCCGACGAUCCUUAGCUGGUCUGAGAGGAUGAUCAGCCACACUGGGACUGAGACACGGCCCAGACUCCUACGGGAGGCAGCAGUGGGGAAUAUUGGACAAUGGGCGAAAGCCUGAUCCAGCAAUGCCGCGUGAGUGAUGAAGGCCUUAGAGUUGUAAAGCUCUUUUACCAGGGAUGAUAAUGACAGUACCUGGAGAAUAAGCUCCGGCUAACUCCGUGCCAGCAGCCGCGGUAAAGUACAGUGU
RNAcentral lists this ribosomal RNA (460 nucleotides) under uncultured bacterium. RNAcentral's name for it is "bacterial SSU rRNA". It matches the Rfam family "Bacterial small subunit ribosomal RNA", at positions 29 to 533 of the family's 1533-position model. The record is from RNAcentral.